Molecule: long non-coding RNA, 423 nt
Organism: Trichomycterus rosablanca
Lineage: Eukaryota; Metazoa; Chordata; Actinopteri; Siluriformes; Trichomycteridae
Exons: 2
Source: RefSeq, a predicted model, not a curated record
AGCUGCUCCCUGACUGCACUUCAUGUUUACAAAAAGACUGUUUCUGUUUCUUCUCACCACGCUAUCCUGCAAAAUGACCACAGCAAAAGUAACUGAAGAUGGAAUUGAUGAAAGAAGAGAGGAUCGAGGUGAUCCUGAUGUCCGGGGAACGCAGCUGCCGUAUCAUAGCCGCAGACUUCAACAACCAGCACCCAGAAAGAACCACCGAUUUCACACCACUGUUGCAUCCCUCAAAGCCAAAUUCCGAGAAACUGGGACUCUGAACUUUAGUUCCUAUUCGGCUGAGUGUAGAGAAUCAGAACUCUUCAUCGAACUGCACAGCGAGUGGCGACCUUUGUGCUUUCACUCAUACAUUUACUUAGUACAUUUCUAAUAAUUUCAAUUUCUUUUAUCAACUGUACAUUAAAAUGAACCAUUAAUUAA